CUGCCUGUGUCUCUGCCUCUCCCUCUCCCUCUCCCUCACCCUCUCCCUCUCCCUCUCCCUCUCUGUGUGUGUCUCUCAUGAAUAAUAAAUUUUUAAAUCUUUAAAAAAAUAAACUGAGUAAAAGACACCCUUCAUGAGAUAGAGGAAAUUUGUAGUUAAGUAUAGAAAUUUGUCCAGCUUCUAGCUGUUCCUCUCCUAUUUGAACCUGUGCCUUUUUUGGUCACAUUUUUAAAUAAAGGGCUAUUUUAGCUCUUCUAACAUAGUUGAGUUUGAAAUGCACUGAACCUGCUACAAUAUGCAAAGAAAACCUUGGGCAGCAGAGGGAGUUGCAUCCCUGAGACUACUUCAGACUUUCUAGUAAAAGCUUGUUCAGGGCAAAGACCUCCCUGCAGCUUUCUUGGCACCAAAAUAGCUGGGGAGAAGGAUAAAAGCGGGAGCAGUAUAAUCCCUAAGAAAACCUGCUGGCUGCUUUUCCAUUUCCCUGUGCAGCCUUUCUGACCUGGCUGCCCUGUGUAAGCAAAGCUGUGCCUGCUGUGGCUUAUUCUGAAUGGAUCAAGACAUGGAAGGUUCUAUUUUUGACAGAGCAAACGAUGAUUGAAAUAAGGAGGCGUUGCUGUCUGCUUCAUUAAGGUUAUUAAAACAUGCUGCUGGGAAGCUGCUCUUGUUGGCAGCGUUUGAUCCAUUUGAGAGAGAGACCCGAGUGGAGGAGAGGGAGAGAGAAUCUCAAGCAGAUUC
Molecule: long non-coding RNA, 735 nt
Organism: Canis lupus familiaris (dog)
Lineage: Eukaryota; Metazoa; Chordata; Mammalia; Carnivora; Canidae
Exons: 3
Source: RefSeq, a predicted model, not a curated record